GUCUUUCAUCUCUUUGCAAAUCUUCUUUUUCAAAAGUUUCAUUUUAUAAAAUCUGAAGAGUCGUAUUGUUUAUAUUUGAUUUUCUUGAAUAGGAUUUGCAGAAGGCAUCUACUAUGAACCUCUCUGCUCUUUUUUGUAGCCUAGAGACUACGAAACGAUGCGAAAUCAAAUCCGAAAGGAUUGGUUCUUCUGGACUGGCAGGCUCUCAUACUCUAUUGGGUUCUGACCUUUUCUCGUAAGUGCCACAAUUUUCUCAUCUCCGAAACACCCACCUACUACUCUUUUGCUCGAUGAUGAUUUCAUUUGCUUUAACCACACCGAACUGAGAAUUGAAGGGUUGGAUUUACCCUCUUCUGAUUUAAGUCAGGGAAGAGAAGAAGGCUUUGCUAAGCAUUUGAAGCCCUGCUGUUAUUCUCCUGGCUUAAAUCUUGAGAUGGUUCUACCCAACUCUUUUUAUGUUCUCUUAUGUGGAAAACUUUGGCCCUUGACUGAGAGCAACCAAUCACCAUGCUAAUUUUUGUUGGGAUUUUCUUUUGGAUUUUUUUGCCCUGAAUUUUACCACGAAGGUUUUAAAUUGUUUUACGUUUGGAUGAGUAAUUCAAUUGUCUCAUAAUGUACAUUGGAUUUUAUGUUUGGCAUGGAUUUUGGGGAAUGAUGAUUAAACUGUGACAUAGGCUUCUGCUAUGCUGAGUUAUGUUUUGCACGUCAGUCUGAUCCCAAAUUCCCAGUUAAAAAAAAUGUGAUUUGUGAUUGCGAGUUUGUCAGUUAAAGAAAAUUUACACUAAUUGUUCUGUGUAAAUUACUUUUUUUUCCCCCUGAGAAGAGAUUUACAAUAAGAUAUUCACCAUUGUUAAUUUGGACCUAUAAAGAACCAUAUUGUAUAACCAACAUGAACAAGGUGGACAUGAUUUUGGGCAAACAGAUGCCUUUUUGCAUUAGUGUGCCGAUUUAGAAACUCUCUGAGUUAGCGUGAAUUCCUUGGUACAUUAUUGCCUUACUGAGGUCUGUACCACUAGCAAUAUAUGCUUUAGCAUGACGGAUGCUAAUCAGUGUGAAGGUGCCGGUGCAAGGGAAGGGGGCUGAGGAAAUAGUCUGGAGAAGAGUUUAUCAGCAAGAACUGCGUUUGCUGCAUCUGAAGGGUGGAAUGCAUCCCAGAAUACAUAGUCGUUCCGGUUUGUACACAUUUUUGAAUUAGGCAAGCAUAGCCCUCCGAGUGAUGUGUCCACAUUGCAACACGAUGUAUUAGAGACCUUGAAACCUGAAAGACAAUGGAUCAAUUUGUGUAUGUUGUAAAUUAA
Molecule: long non-coding RNA, 1298 nt
Organism: Prunus mume (Japanese apricot)
Lineage: Eukaryota; Viridiplantae; Streptophyta; Magnoliopsida; Rosales; Rosaceae
Source: RefSeq, a predicted model, not a curated record